This 484-nucleotide ribosomal RNA is filed under the name uncultured bacterium. RNAcentral's name for it is "partial 16S ribosomal RNA". It matches the Rfam family "Bacterial small subunit ribosomal RNA", at positions 30 to 507 of the family's 1533-position model. The record is from RNAcentral.
AUUGAACUCUGGCGGCAGUCCUAACACAUUCAAGUCGAGCGGUUUAAGGGAUCUUGCUCCUGUAUUCAGCGGCGGACGGGUGCGUAAUGCCUAUCAUUCCGCCUCUUCCUCGCGGAUUACGUCCGUAAACGGGCUCUAAUACCGCAUACGUCCUUUGCGCGAAAGUCCUUGAUCUUCGGACCUCACUCUAUCCGAUCAUCCUAGGUCGGCUUAGCUAGUUGGUGGGGUAAAGGCCUACCAAGGCGCCGAUCCGUAACUGGUCUGAGAUGAUGAUCAGUCAAGCUGGAACUGAGAAACGAUCCAGACUCAGACGGGAGGCAGGAGUGGGGAAGAUUGGACAAUGGGCGAAAGCCUGAUCCAGCCAUGCCGCGAGUGUGAAGAAGGUAUUCGGAUUGUAAAGCACUGUAAGUUGGGAGGAAGGGCAGUAAGUUAACACCUGGAUGUAAUGACGUGACCAACAGAAUAGGCACCGGCUAAAUUCGUG